AACGAGCGCUGGCGGCUUGCCUAACACAUGCAAGUCGAACGAGAUCUUCGGGUCUAGUGGCGCACGGGUGCGUAACGCGUGGGAAUCUGCCCUUUGGUUCGGAAUAACAGUUGGAAACGACUGCUAAUACCGGAUGAUGACGAAAGUCCAAAGAUUUAUCGCCAGAGGAUGAGCCCGCGUAGGAUUAGCUAGUUGGUGUGGUAAAGGCGCACCAAGGCGACGAACCUUAGCUGGUCUGAGAGGAUGAUCAGCCACACUGGGACUGAGACACGGCCCAGACUCCUACGGGAGGCAGCAGUGGGGAAUAUUGGACAAUGGGCGAAAGCCUGAUCCAGCAAUGCCGCGUGAGUGAUGAAGGCCUUAGGGUUGUAAAGCUCUUUUACCCGGGAUGAUAAUGACAGUACCGGGAGAAUAAGCUCCGGCUAACUCCGUGCCAGCCGCCGCAGUAA
This 449-nucleotide ribosomal RNA is filed under the name uncultured bacterium. RNAcentral's name for it is "partial 16S ribosomal RNA". It matches the Rfam family "Bacterial small subunit ribosomal RNA", at positions 29 to 523 of the family's 1533-position model. The record is from RNAcentral.